UGGGACUAUAAAUUAGCAUCCAG
Molecule: non-coding RNA, 23 nt
Filed under: Rattus norvegicus (Norway rat)
Lineage: Eukaryota; Metazoa; Chordata; Mammalia; Rodentia; Muridae
Source: RNAcentral